This 275-nucleotide unclassified non-coding RNA is filed under the name uncultured fungus. RNAcentral's name for it is "sequence contains 18S rRNA gene, ITS1, 5.8S rRNA gene, ITS2". Lineage: Eukaryota; Fungi. The record is from RNAcentral.
UUCUAGACUUUAAGCGUGUGUAUAAAAACGUAGUGCCGUCCUUCCCCCCCCAUUAGUCAGAGUUCAUUCACCUAACGAAAGGCUUCCGAGACCCCUUUUAAAUCAGGUUCAGAGACAACAACUACAAGUGUGCACAGGUGUGAGUGGAUGAGCAAUGAAUGUGCACAUGCCCCGAGAGGCCAGCGACAAUCCAUGUCAGAACUCGAUAAUGAUCCUUCCGCAGGUUCACCUACGGAAACCUUGUUACGACUUUUACUUCCUCUAAAUGACCAAGA